UGUUCCAUGUAUUGUAUUUUUUUUUUUUUUUUUUUGUGUUUUUUUUUUUUUUUUUCAAUGCGGAUGAU
This 68-nucleotide non-coding RNA is filed under the name Pseudo-nitzschia pungens. Lineage: Eukaryota; Bacillariophyta; Bacillariophyceae; Bacillariales; Bacillariaceae. The record is from RNAcentral.